This 77-nucleotide transfer RNA is filed under the name Acetobacter pasteurianus IFO 3283-01. RNAcentral describes it as "tRNA-Met". The stretch from base 1 to 68 matches the Rfam family "tRNA". Rfam says of the family: Transfer RNA (tRNA) molecules are approximately 80 nucleotides in length. Their secondary structure includes four short double-helical elements and three loops (D, anti-codon, and T loops). The record is from RNAcentral. Lineage: Bacteria; Pseudomonadati; Pseudomonadota; Alphaproteobacteria; Acetobacterales; Acetobacteraceae. RNAcentral also lists the same sequence under 1 other name.
GUGGAGCAGCCCGGUAGCUCGUCAGGCUCAUAACCUGAAGGCCGCAGGUUCAAAUCCUGCCCCCGCAACCAAGAUUU